UCCAGACUCCUACGGGAGGCAGCAGUGGGGAAUAUUGCACAAUGGGGGGAACCCUGAUGCAGCGAUGCCGCGUGGAGGAAGAAGGUUUUCGGAUUGUAAACUCCUUUUAUCAGGGACGAUAAUGACGGUACCUGAAGAAAAAGCUCCGGCUAACUACGUGCCAGCGGCCGCGGUAAUACGUAGGGAGCGAGCGUUGUCCGGAAUUACUGGGUGUAAAGGGAGCGUAGGCGGGACGGCAAGUCAGAUGUGAAAACUGAGGGCUCAACUUUCAGACUGCAUUUGAAACUGCUGUUCUUGAGUGAAGUAGAGGUAAGCGGAAUUCCUAGUGUAGCGGUGAAAUGCGUAGAUAUUAGGAGGAACAUCGGUGGCGAAAGCGCUUUACUGGACCAUUAUUGACGCUGAGGAACGAAAGCCAGGGGAGCAAAUGGGAUUAGAUACCCCCGUAGA
RNAcentral lists this ribosomal RNA (447 nucleotides) under uncultured bacterium. Its description in RNAcentral is "bacterial SSU rRNA". It matches the Rfam family "Bacterial small subunit ribosomal RNA", at positions 330 to 794 of the family's 1533-position model. The record is from RNAcentral.